AAAUUUUGAUGUAAACAUGCAGCAGAAAAGUUGAGGCUGUUCCUGCCCCUUUCAGAUAUAGUCUGUUUUGGCAAUUCAGUCGAAAGUCUCAAGUCUCAUUUUCUUCAGAAAGGUACACUUUGGAAAAAAGCAAACUGGUAAAAAACUUUAUUUUUUCCUGGAAGAGAUAUUUAAGAAUUCUUAUACACCACAGCAGUGUCAACAGGAAGGACAGAGAACAGGUGAAGGCAGUCAACCCCUGAAUUGUUCUAGGAUAUAGAUUAAGUUCUCUUGAGUGCUUUUGUCAGAUUCAUUAUUUCCUGGCAGAAGAGAGGCAUGAAUUCACAUCUCCCGUAUGUAAAGUGUUCUAACAGCAUGACAAGGUGCUUAACAAGGGGGAUUAUGACAUCGUCUGUUCAUUGUUUCCAGGAGUGCCUUAUGGGCAGCAAACCUCAGCCACCAGAUACGGAGCAUAAAUCGAGGAGGAAAAAAAAAAGCCUCUUUCCAAAGGCUUUGUUCCUUAAAAUCAAUAGCAUUGAAAUGAGGAGGAGGAAUGUCAGAACACAGCGUCACAUGUCUCUGAUUUUUCUGAGCACCGAAUUCACAGGAGCUGCGUCUGUUGAACAUCCUUCAUGAGAUGAGUCCUUAAGUACACUGACAGUAGAAGAAAUGAACAAUUCUAAGCCAAACAGUUUGUAAACCUGUAGAGGUGAGCACAUUUUCAGUAACAGUGGUUUAGUGUAGCAGGGU
RNAcentral lists this long non-coding RNA (729 nucleotides) under Numida meleagris (helmeted guineafowl). RNAcentral describes it as "lncRNA (ENSNMEG00000005622.1)". The record is from RNAcentral. Lineage: Eukaryota; Metazoa; Chordata; Aves; Galliformes; Numididae.